This 24-nucleotide non-coding RNA is filed under the name Arabidopsis thaliana (thale cress). Lineage: Eukaryota; Viridiplantae; Streptophyta; Magnoliopsida; Brassicales; Brassicaceae. The record is from RNAcentral.
UACUUCACCUAGAGUCUUUAACCU